AUAUCAAUAAGCGGAGGAAAAGAAACCAACAGGGAUUGCCUCAGUAACGGCGAGUGAAGCGGCAACAGCUCAAAUUUGAAAUCUGGCUCUUUCGGGCCCGAGUUGUAAUUUGUAGAGGAUGCUUCGGCGUCGGCUCCGGUCUAAGUUCCUUGGAACAGGACGUCGUAGAGGGUGAGAAUCCCGUAUGUGAUCAGGUUGCCUUAUGCCUAUGUGAAGCUCCUUCGAUGAGUCGAGUUGUUUGGGAAUGCAGCUCUAAAAUGGGUGGUAAAUUUCAUUCUAAAGCUAAAUACUGGCCAGAGACCGAUAGCGCACAAGUAGAGUGAUCGAAAGAUGAAAAGCACUUUGGAAAGAGAGUGCAAACAGUAC
This 366-nucleotide ribosomal RNA is filed under the name uncultured fungus. RNAcentral's name for it is "eukaryotic LSU rRNA". It matches the Rfam family "Eukaryotic large subunit ribosomal RNA", at positions 40 to 398 of the family's 3401-position model. Lineage: Eukaryota; Fungi. The record is from RNAcentral.